AUAACCCUCCAGUUUCUUCUCUCUGUUCUUCUCCUUCCUCGUACACAACCGAGAGCGAGAGAGGUCAUGAUCUUGGUCUGCUAAAUGCCACCCAGGUCAUGAUCUUCCAUCUCACCACCCUUUGAGCACAAAAUUGUGAUCUUCAUUUCAAUUUUUAUCAAUCCCAAAACCAUCAGAGAUAAGUCUAGGGCUAAGCUUACUUCUUUUUUGCUCUUCUUUCUCUGUAUUUCAACUUUUAGGAGAUGGCAAAGCGAACGUUUAAGCAGUUUGUAGAACAAGAACUUGGACAAGUCCUAAAGUUUUUCAUUUAUGCAGUGCUGGAAUGGAUAAUGAUAUUUGUUCUGUUCAUUGACGGGUUUCUUGCAUUUUUCGCAAACGAAUUUGCUAACUUCUUUGAGUUGCCUAUCCCUUGCUUGCUUUGCACCCGGAUUGAUCAUGUCCUUGUACGGAGAAAUUCUGAUUUCUAUUACAAUGAUUCCAUAUGUGAACAUCAUAAGAAGAAUGUUUCAACUCUUGCAUUCUGUCAUGCUCACAAGAAGCUUUCUGACAUAAGAAACAUGUGUGAGAGCUGUCUUCUUUCCUUCGCAACUGGGAAAGAAUCCGAUUGUGAUACUUACAAGUCCCUUCUGGGGAUCCUACACAAGGAUAUUGAGUUGUUUGUUGAUGAAGAUCAUGAAGUUCAUCUGUCAUUGCCUGCUGGAAAGAAGGAAAACGAAGCAGCCAUUGAGAAGAGCCAUGAUCAUCUUUGUUCAUGUUGUGGGGAGCCAUUGAAGGUGAAAUCCUCCUAUAUAAAAGGGAAGCAUUCAUCCCUAGCUCCUGCUCCAUCUCCCCGGGCACCAGCCAAUCCAAAUUUGGAUUUGUCACACAUAAAUUAUACGGAGCUCAAGCUUAACUCGGAUGAAUCAGAGGUUCAUGAGGAUAAUGAUCGCUCGAGGGGAAUAAGCCUUGAAAAGCCAUUCGAAGACGCCAAGGCUGCUACAGUACCAUUGCUGAUGGAUGCUGAUGAUGAAGAUAAGACCCCUAACUUUAUUAGGGGAAACAAGUUUUUCGGAAUCCCGCUGUCGGAUUCAGCAACCAACAGUCCCAGGUGGACAAGAAUUACGAGGAAAUCACUGCUUGAGAAAACAGAGUUUGCUUCAGAAUCUGGAGAUGGGCCAGUGCCAAAUGAGGCAGAAGGUGAUAUUUUGCAUCAUUUGAAGAGACAAGUUCGUAUGGAUCGCAAGUCGCUGAUGGCUUUGUACAUGGAACUGGAUGAAGAAAGAAGUGCAUCUACUGUUGCAGCUAACAAUGCAAUGGCCAUGAUUACGAGGUUGCAAGCUGAGAAGGCAGCUGUUCAGAUGGAGGCCUUACAAUACCAGAGAAUGAUGGAGGAGCAGGCAGAAUACGACCAAGAAGCACUACAAGAGAUGAGUAAUUUGCUGGCCAAGAGAGAGGAAGAAAUUAAGGAUUUAGAGGCUGAACUUGAGGUUUACAGACAAAAUUAUGGAUGCUUAAAGGAAGUUGAUUUUGAAGGACAAGGAGAAGAGAGUGAUGGGGGCUACCGAGUAUUAAAACCACCAUCUAACUCUUCCUAUAAUGGAAGAACUGAAUGUACCAGCCCUACUCGUAGCCUUAGUGAAGGGUCCAAUGCUGGGGUAAAAGCACAGAAUGAUUAUCAGUCUGAUUCAAUGCAGGAUGAGGUCGGAGGGGAAGCCCUUGACAAAUCAAAGAAAGCCUCUCAAGGACUACGUCAUUUGGACCGGUUGAAAAAUCUGGAUAAGAAACUGAAGCUUUCACCUUCAUCGGAUGGUGGGGAUGUUUCCCCAAACUCUAGUAGUGAAAAUGAUGACUACAUGGAAGAGGAGACAGGGAUUGGAAGUAAAGCGAUCCUAAGGAGUGAAUUGUCCCGUAUCAGUGAGAAGAUUGAGGCCCUUGCAGCAGGUGGUGAUGGACUCCUGAAACAUGUUACUGAUCUUACAAACGAAAUAGGCAGCGACGGAACAAAACUAUUAACAGAAGUUUCCCAGAAUCUACAGAAGCUUCAACACUUUGUAACAAUGUGUUAUUCUGAAAGCGAAGAUGCAUAAUUAUCUUCCAAAUCAUCAGUGGAUGUGUAUAAGAUUCCUACUUGAUCGUUUUGGAGCCCUCCGCUUUAGGUGCCUUCGAGUAAAGACUAGCAGCAAAUGGAGCUUUGCAACGACUUGGGGCAAGCAAGCUUGUGACCUGCCAUGGAAUCGAUCAUCUGAGAUUUUAGUUGAAACUUGAAAUUAGCGGUAGCCAAAUGCUAGGGGGCAAAAAAAAUGGUUAUAGGCUUGAUAGUGCUUUGAAUAUGUCAUCUUCACUUUGCAUGUUGUUGUUCAACCAGAGUAACACUUGUAGGAGAUUUGUUGGCGAUGAGAUGAGGGGAAGAUAAGAAAAGGUUCCCCCCUAAUUUUCAAAGUGCUGCUUUGCUUAACUGGAAGGAUAAUGGUUUCUUUCCUUUUCGUUUUUCUGGUUU
Molecule: non-coding RNA, 2476 nt
Organism: Theobroma cacao (cacao)
Lineage: Eukaryota; Viridiplantae; Streptophyta; Magnoliopsida; Malvales; Malvaceae
Source: RefSeq, a predicted model, not a curated record